AACGCACAUUGCGCCCUCUGGCAUUCCGGAGGGCAUGCCUGUCCGAGCGUUAUUUUCUAUCCUCAAGCGCGGCUUGUGUGUUGGGUGCUGUCCCCAAAGGGGACAUGCCUGAAAGGCAGUGGCAGUGUCACGUCUGGGUUUCCGAGUGUAUGGGGGCUCUGUCACUCACUCUGGGCGGAUCGACGUGCGUGCUGGCCAUGGCAGAUUAUUUUCACGGUUGACCUCGGAUCAGGUAGGAGUUACCCGCUGAACUUAA
Molecule: unclassified non-coding RNA, 256 nt
Filed under: uncultured fungus
Lineage: Eukaryota; Fungi
Description: partial contains 5.8S ribosomal RNA, internal transcribed spacer 2, and large subunit ribosomal RNA
Source: RNAcentral